Molecule: ribosomal RNA, 245 nt
Filed under: uncultured bacterium
Lineage: Bacteria
Description: partial 16S ribosomal RNA
Rfam family: Bacterial small subunit ribosomal RNA
Source: RNAcentral
GUGCCAGCGUUAUCCGGAUUCACUGGGUUUAAAGGGUGCGUAGGAGGGCAGGUAAGUCCGUGGUGAAAUCUCCAAGCUUAACUUGGAAACUGCCGUUGAUACUAUCUGUCUUGAAUACCGUGGAGGUGAGCGGAAUAUGUCAUGUAGCGGUGAAAUGCUUAGAUAUGACAUAGAACACCAAUUGCGAAGGCAGCUCGCUACACGAAUAUUGACUCUGAGGCGCGAAAGCUAGGGGAGCAAACGGG